This 100-nucleotide non-coding RNA is filed under the name Halobacillus mangrovi. RNAcentral's name for it is "SAM-I sequence". It matches the Rfam family "SAM riboswitch aptamer (S box leader)". Rfam says of the family: The SAM riboswitch is found upstream of a number of genes which code for proteins involved in methionine or cysteine biosynthesis in Gram-positive bacteria. The SAM riboswitch acts at the level of transcription termination control. The predicted structure consists of a complex stem-loop region followed by a single stem loop terminator region. Lineage: Bacteria; Bacillati; Bacillota; Bacilli; Caryophanales; Bacillaceae. The record is from RNAcentral.
UCCUUAUAAAGAGUCGGGGGAGGAAACUGGUCCUAAGAUCCCGCAGCAACCUCUACUAAGAAGGUGCUCAGUCCAGCAGGCUUGUUCUGAAAGAUAAGGA